Long non-coding RNA from Corapipo altera (White-ruffed manakin), 475 nucleotides. RefSeq lists it as uncharacterized. Lineage: Eukaryota; Metazoa; Chordata; Aves; Passeriformes; Pipridae. The transcript is spliced from 3 exons. The record is from RefSeq and is a predicted model, not a curated record.
CUUGCUGGCAAAGCUGCUCUGCCUUCCUGACUCUUGUGUGUUUGCCCCGGUGUUUAGUGGAAUCCAGGCUAAAGGACAGAGCAGACCAAGUCCACCGGGAAGCCGUGACCACCUCCGCGCUGUGUUCUCUGAGCGCCAGGGACUGUGCCAAGGCCUUUGGAAAAUACCUGCAUCCCCACGAGAGGACAGAUGUCAUCCUCGUGGCCAUCGAGGCAGUGGGCGAUGCCAGCAUCCUCGACCAGCAGGUGCCCAGCAGCCUGCUGGAUGUGGCCUUGGAGGACCCGGACGUCUGGCUGACGGACGCGCCCAAGAUAGUCAGCAGCAUCCUUGAGAGCCUGCCAUACUGCAGCACACAGGCAGCGUGGGAGAAAGCGGAGUCACUGCUUCGCCUGAUGACCAACCUGUACCCCACCGCAGUGGUCAUCCUCCUGUGUAAGGCGGCUCUUCAGGGAGACAGGUACUGGCCCUGAUGGCC